UACGUAGGGGGCAAGCGUUGUCCGGAUUUAUUGGGCGUAAAGAGCGUGUAGGCGGCCAAGCAGGUCCGCUGUGAAAACUCGAGGCUCAACCUCGAGACGUCGGUGGAAACCGUUUGGCUAGAGUCCGGAAGAGGAGAGUGGAAUUCCCGGUGUAGCGGUGAAAUGCGCAGAUAUCAGGAAGAACACCCGUGGCGAAAGCGGCUCUCUGGAACGGUACUGACGCUGUAGAGCGAAAGCGUGGGGAGCGAACAGG
This 253-nucleotide ribosomal RNA is filed under the name uncultured bacterium. Its description in RNAcentral is "partial 16S ribosomal RNA". It matches the Rfam family "Bacterial small subunit ribosomal RNA", at positions 524 to 776 of the family's 1533-position model. The record is from RNAcentral.